RNAcentral lists this ribosomal RNA (604 nucleotides) under uncultured Bacteroidota bacterium. RNAcentral describes it as "bacterial SSU rRNA". It matches the Rfam family "Bacterial small subunit ribosomal RNA", at positions 316 to 916 of the family's 1533-position model. The record is from RNAcentral. Lineage: Bacteria; Pseudomonadati; Bacteroidota.
GUACUGAGACACGGACCAGACUCCUACGGGAGGCAGCAGUGAGGAAUAUUGGACAAUGGGAGCAAUCCUGAUCCAGCCACGCCGCGUGCAGGAAGACUGCCCUAUGGGUUGUAAACUGCUUUUAUACAGGAAGAAAAAGGUGUACGUGUACACUGUUGACGGUACUGUAAGAAUAAGGAUCGGCUAACUCCGUGCCAGCAGCCGCGGUAAUACGGAGGAUCCAAGCGUUAUCCGGAAUCAUUGGGUUUAAAGGGUCCGUAGGCGGGAUAAUAAGUCAGUGGUGAAAGUCUGCAGCUCAACUGUAGAAUUGCCAUUGAUACUGUUGUUCUUGAGUUAUUGUGAAGUGGUUAGAAUGAGUAGUGUAGCGGUGAAAUGCAUAGAUAUUACUCAGAAUACCGAUUGCGAAGGCAGAUCACUAACAAUACACUGACGCUGAUGGACGAAAGCGUAGGUAGCGAACAGGAUUAGAUACCCUGGUAGUCUACGCCGUAAACGAUGGUUACUAGCUGUUCGGGUUAAUUGAGACCUGAGUGGCUAAGCGAAAGUGAUAAGUAACCCACCUGGGGAGUACGUUCGCAAGAAUGAAACUCAAAGGAAUUGACGG